AUUGAACGCUGGCGGCAUGCCUUACACAUGCAAGUCGAACGGCAGCACGGGAGCAAUCCUGGUGGCGAGUGGCGAACGGGUGAGUAAUAUAUCGGAACGUGCCCAGUCGUGGGGGAUAACGCAGCGAAAGCUGUGCUAAUACCGCAUACGAUCUAUGGAUGAAAGCGGGGGACUCGCAAGGGCCUCGCGCGAUUGGAGCGGCCGAUAUCAGAUUAGCUAGUUGGUGGGGUAAAAGCCCACCAAGGCGACGAUCUGUAGCUGGUCUGAGAGGACGACCAGCCACACUGGAACUGAGACACGGUCCAGACUCCUACGGGAGGCAGCAGUGGGGAAUUUUGGACAAUGGGCGAAAGCCUGAUCCAGCAAUGCCGCGUGCAGGACGAAGGCC
RNAcentral lists this ribosomal RNA (388 nucleotides) under uncultured bacterium. RNAcentral's name for it is "bacterial SSU rRNA". It matches the Rfam family "Bacterial small subunit ribosomal RNA", at positions 29 to 416 of the family's 1533-position model. The record is from RNAcentral.